UACACUCCUGCGGGAGGCAGCAGUGGGGAAUUUUACGCAAUGGGGGAAACCCUGACGUAGCGACACCGCGUGAGCGAAGAAGCCCUUUGGGGUGUAAAGCUCUGUCAGCUGGAACGAAAACAAUGACGGUACCAGCAGAGGAAGCAUCGGCUAACUACGUGCCAGCAGCCGCGGUAAGACGUAGGAUGCGAGCGUUGUCCGGAUUUAUUGGGCGUAAAGAGUUCGUAGGUGGUUUGUUAAGUUUGGUGUUAAAGAUCGGGGCUCAACCCUGGGACUGCACUGAAUACUGGCAGACUCGAGUGUGGUAGAGGCUAGUGGAAUUCCCAGUGUAGCGGUGAAAUGCGUAGAUAUUGGGAAGAACACCGGUGGCGUAGGCGACUAGCUGGGCCAUAACUGACGCUGAGGAACGAAAGCCAGGGGAGCGAAUGGGAUUAGAUACCCGUGUAGUCC
Molecule: ribosomal RNA, 450 nt
Filed under: uncultured organism
Description: partial 16S ribosomal RNA
Rfam family: Bacterial small subunit ribosomal RNA
Source: RNAcentral